CCAAGGAAGGAGGCUGGACAUC
This 22-nucleotide microRNA is filed under the name Homo sapiens (human). Its description in RNAcentral is "hsa-miR-6830-5p". The record is from miRBase by way of RNAcentral. Lineage: Eukaryota; Metazoa; Chordata; Mammalia; Primates; Hominidae.